CACCCAUUGCUCUCAUGUGAGAAAAGAAAUUUUCCAAUACAUCUUGAUUCAAGCGAUGGGUCAAAAUAUAUUCCAGAUUGUAUUGUUCUUUGAGGUGCAAAAACAACUUUUCUAGAGAGCUAUUGCUAACAAUAAUCCCUUUUUGAAAUGUUUCAGUCAUUUUAGAUAAAAGUUGUUGCUGCUUCUGGAGAUCUAAACCAUAGCCGACAACGCCAGUGCGCGAAUAUUUAGAAUUGGUAUUAAAUAGAUCAAACCAGUCAUUAACUAACUCGACAAAGUUGGCAAGUAAAUUAAAAUUCGGAUCAUUAAUUAAAUUAUUCUCCCCACAGUACUUAAUGACAUUUGCUGUGGUGCGAGAAAAUAAUUUAGCCGCCCAUUUCACUUUUUGGCGUUGAGAACGCUUAACAUCUAUUAGGUGUUGGGUAAUUUUAUGACCCAUUUUUAAAUCAGAUGUUUCACCCAGAGCUAAAAAUUGUUCAACCGCGCUCUUUGUCAAGGUUGAAUUUUCGAAAAUAAAUCCAUGAUCUAAAAAAUGGUUCCUUAUCAGUUUUAAAAGAUGUGGAACAUCUGCAAAAACAUAAAUGAGCUUUGUUUCAUCACUAGGAUGGCUAAAACUUGUGUUGCUGGUAUUGAUAUUCAAACAUUUCCAUAGUCUCAUGUUGGUCGUACCCAUAUCGCUUACUAUGGCAGUCACUGUGUACCCACUGUGGUACAACUGUUUUAAUGAAUUAUGUAAUAAUUCUUUGGUAACAGGAGUAUCAAAAUUAUAAAAUAUAGGUUGCUUCCAAUUGGAACACAAACCCCGGGCCAUUAUUACUUGGACUGCCUUGUGCGGCCCAAAAACUUGUUCCUUUGUUUUUAGAAAACAAAUUUGUUUAUUCACAAACAUUUCAUCGAAUGAUAAGACAGUGAGUCUUUCUAAAACUGUUAAGUUUUUGGCUUGUUUCUCCAUGAGAAGAGCCACGUUUUUUAGCAAACCUGGACUUAUAUCAAAAGUAUGGGCCCAUCGUCUGAGAGUUCUCAGAUCAGGGAAUGGAAACUUGCAGGUUUGCCUCAAAUAUCGAUAAGCUUUUGGACUCACACUUCUUAAAGAAAUUGCUGAUGCUAUGUCAUCGGACGACCAACAGACACGUUUCUGUUUAAUUAGGCGCCGUAUCUGACCAGGGGUAAACAGUUUUUUUGAAGCUGUACCAAUCGUCACUAAAUCAUUUUUUUCAUUUAAUUUCUUUACGAGUCGUCUAUUUUCCUCUUCAAUUUUUUCAUUUUCACGCUGUAUGUCAUCAUACUUUUUCUGUAAUGCAUUAAAUUUCUUUUCCCACUCGUUUUCAUAAUUUCUUUGUUUAGUUGUAUCCUCAAAGUCAUUUAGCGGCUGAAUACCAUGUUCCGUUUCUUUUGCUACGUCUGUUACACCAAACAAAUUAACAUGACACUUUUUGCGCGCGUUGAUAUCAACUUUUCGCACUAUUUUUUCCGUUGAGCCGUUUUUAUUUGGCGUAAAAUUGUGUUCGACAGACACUUCCACUUGAUCCGAACUUCCACAAAAUCCACUUUUAUUUGGAGAUAAGGGAAUUUUAAUUGUGGGAAUUGCCGUGGACACUAACCUUCUCCUGUUCUUUGGGCUAUAGCCCAAUAUUAUCUGCUGCAUAGAUUUAUAAUUAAAUUUAUCUUCAAAAUGAAGAGAACAUAUUCGAGCUACAAAGAAAACAAAUCUGUGUGAAUAUUCCACUGUUAAAUGUAAAAUACUUAUGCUGUUACCAUUUUUUGUAUUAACAGGAGGAAUCCUACAAAAUGCUGACCACUGCUCUGAUAGAACAGGAUCCUUCGGAAAUCUAUAAAAGUGAAUUCCUUUGGAUUUCUUUUGGCUGGUGUUACAACCCAUGACUGAACAGUAAGCCAUGUUCCAAGAUUUGUAAUAAACAGGAGAUACAAUAACACAAAAACGACAAACUUAAUUCUUGCAUAUACCUGCUACCUCAACUGUCACAAUGUAGAUAUGACGUUAUAUUUUUGUUUUAAGAACGGUAUAAAGUAAAAGAACUUUUCACAAUAUGUUAAAUAAUUUAUUUCUGUCAUUAAAACAAUUCUAUUUCAUGAUGAAAA
Long non-coding RNA from Zophobas morio, 2100 nucleotides. RefSeq lists it as uncharacterized. The record is from RefSeq and is a predicted model, not a curated record. NCBI's taxonomy places the organism in Eukaryota, Metazoa, Arthropoda, Insecta, Coleoptera, Tenebrionidae. The transcript is spliced from 2 exons.